UAGUCCACGCCGUAAACGAUGUCUACUAGCCGUUGGGAGACUUGAUUUCUUAGUGGCGCAGCUAACGCAAUAAGUAGACCGCCUGGGGAGUACGGCCGCAAGGUUAAAACUCAAAUGAAUUGACGGGGGCCCGCACAAGCGGUGGAGCAUGUGGUUUAAUUCGAUGCAACGCGAAGAACCUUACCAGGUCUUGACAUCCUGAGAACUUUCUAGAGAUAGAUUGGUGCCUUCGGGAACUCAGAGACAGGUGCUGCAUGGUUGUCGUCAGCUCGUGCCGUGAGGUGUUGGCUUAAGUGCCGCAACGAGCGCAACCCCUAUUGUUAGUUGCCAGCGAGUAAUGUCGGGGACUCUAACAAGACUGCCGGCGUAAGCCGCGAGGAAGGUGGGGACGACGUCAAAUCAUCAUGGCCUUUAUGCCUAGGGCUACACACGUGCUACAAUGGGUGGGACAGAGGGUUGCCAAGCCGCGAGGUGGAGCUAAUCUCAGAAACUCACUCCCAGUUCGG
Molecule: ribosomal RNA, 506 nt
Filed under: uncultured bacterium
Lineage: Bacteria
Description: bacterial SSU rRNA
Rfam family: Bacterial small subunit ribosomal RNA
Source: RNAcentral